Molecule: ribosomal RNA, 253 nt
Filed under: uncultured bacterium
Lineage: Bacteria
Description: partial 16S ribosomal RNA
Rfam family: Bacterial small subunit ribosomal RNA
Source: RNAcentral
UACAGAGGGUGCGAGCGUUAAUCGGAAUUACUGGGCGUAAAGCGCGCGUAGGCGGCUUUGCAAGUCGGGUGUGAAAUCCCCAGGCUUAACCUGGGAACUGCAUUCGAGACUGCAUUGCUAGAGUAUGGGAGAGGGAAGUGGAAUUCCAGGUGUAGCGGUGAAAUGCGUAGAUAUCUGGAGGAACACCGGUGGCGAAGGCGGCAUCCUGGACCGGUAUUGACGCUGAGGCGCGAAAGCUAGGGGAGCAAACGGG